Molecule: ribosomal RNA, 253 nt
Filed under: uncultured bacterium
Lineage: Bacteria
Description: partial 16S ribosomal RNA
Rfam family: Bacterial small subunit ribosomal RNA
Source: RNAcentral
GACAGAGGUGCCAAGCGUUGUUCGGAUUCAUUGGGCGUAAAGGGUGCGUAGGCGGCGCGGUAAGUCGGGUGUGAAAUCUCGGAGCUUAACUCCGAAACUGCAUUCGAUACUGCCGUGCUUGAGGACUGGAGAGGAGACUGGAAUUUACGGUGUAGCGGUGAAAUGCGUAGAUAUCGUAAGGAAGACCAGUGGCGAAGGCGGGUCUCUGGACAGUUCCUGACGCUGAGACACGAAGGCCAGGGGAGCAAACGGG